Molecule: long non-coding RNA, 1842 nt
Organism: Gopherus flavomarginatus (Mexican gopher tortoise)
Lineage: Eukaryota; Metazoa; Chordata; Testudines; Testudinidae
Exons: 6
Source: RefSeq, a predicted model, not a curated record
GCCUCAGUGCGCUGCUGCUCCUCUUCCUCGGCGGCCGCCUCCUCCGGCUCCUCCUCGGCUGCCUCCUGCCCCGCGUCCUCGGGCUCCUCCAGGAAGGUGGCAAGUAUAUCAAGUGGUUGACUUUCGGCUGUGUAGCAGCACAUCUUUCACCUCAUCAGAGCAUUCAACCUCCAAGUCUUGGAACCAAGAAGGAGCCAAGCAUGGAGGCGGCAGAUCUGCUUGUUGUUUUGAGAGAAAAGGUGAGGAAUGAGCUGAAGAGAAACCAUAGGACAUACUUCCAUCUAUGCUAGUAGCCUCAGUGAAGCAUUUGGUCAUCUUCUUGAGAAAGGACUAUUCUCAGUAAGUUCUCAAUCAAGAAACACUUAACUGACAAUGGACUUUGGGAGACACCAAUCCACAUCUGAGCUUUUCUGGGAACAGUCAAACUAAAGGCAUCAGCCUGCAAAGAGCUGAAUCAUUCAUGGACAUGUGACUUGCCCAGGUGGCUACAAACUCCAUCUUGUUGCUGUGAUUUUGCACAGAAGAACAAAAGGGUUUCUGCUCACAAGAGAGACUAUAAAAGGCCUUGGAAAUCCCUCCAUUUGGUCUCUAGCUGGCUCAAGAGAUGGCCUCCCCCCACCCAAGAGAUGCCUGAAAGAAACUGGAACAAAGGAUAGUAACUACGGGGGGUGAGAGUGAUUGCUGGACCCAGACUAGGAAGAAGUCCAGUCUGUGAAAAAAGCUUAUUGGAACGUCUCUGGGGGGUUGAUGCGAUGGAGGCUGGUGUCUGGCCAGAUGACUUUGGCAAGAUCUAGAAUCACCUCAUUCAUUGGGAGGGCAACUUUGGACAAGGAGGCAGCAUGGAGAAUAUCCAUCAGCUUGUGAUGUGUGUCUUAUCUCCUGCAGGGGAAUUUGCAGCUCAUCUGCCACUCUCCUGAAUUUCACACAGUAAAAAUCUAGAAAUUAAACCUUUAAUGUUUAGACAAGAUGGUCAUCACAUUAUCCUAGAAGCAUCCAAUUGUGAAUAAAUAUUUGAUUAAAAAGAUACAGAGGAAAAUACAGCACAUUGCCGCAUUUCAACAAUGACAAGCAAUCUCACACACAAGGGAAAAAGAGGGGAAAACUCUUCAAUUUCAAAUUUCUGGGGAAACUUCAAGAGAGUGAGGAAAAUAUUAAGAAGUAUGAAAAGUAACUUGGACAAUAGUAGGCACAUACAUAAAUUUAAUGGAAGAGAAGUGCUAAACUUGGAAACAACCUGGUUUUUUUUUCCCUGUCAGAUUUGGCAUUUAUAACUUGAUCUCAGACUUGACUAAACAUCAAGGCUAAUGUUAUGUGUAGUUCUUUAUGAAAUGGUUCUCUUUACCAUGAAACUGUAAACACAUGCUACUGCUUUCAAUCUAAUUCCAAAAUAUGUGUUUACAAUAUCACUGUAAAGAUACUUACUGGCUGAAGCCUGAGGUUGAAUGCGAGGUAUUCCUCCAUUUGGCACUUGAAAAUUUGAAUCACUUCUGCUGUUUUUCACAGACUCAGCAUGGAUGUUAGAUGUCCUGGACAGGUUUGGAAGACUACGCCUUAGUUUUUCUGUAUAAAAAAAAACAAUGCAAAGACACAACGUACAAUCUCAUGCAGAAGACUGAUAACAUAACUGACAGUCUUCAAAAACUGACCUGAAAGUUAAUUUUGCUGUAUAAAACUGCACUGCAAAUUAAAAACUAAAUACUAUUUAGACCAUUCUGUUGUUCUACAGAUGACAAUUAUUUUCUUAUGCCUCACGUGAAAUAUUCUGCAUGUAUUUUCUUCCUAAAUAUGUAGUAAUUUUGCUGUGUGCAAGUCAGAAAUAUAGCUGAUUUCAAAACUCUCAAA